GUUAUCUUAAUUCCGUAUUAUGAAGUGAAGUCCAGUCCAGUCCAUCCCAUACCAAAGUCCUACCUAUAGCAAAUAGUCUACAAUAUAAACAUCUUAGACAAACUGAUAACACACUUGCUGUGCUUUCCACAAAUCACAUCACAACUUACUUAGACCAGUCCUGGGCUGGCUUAUAUCCCGUAUUCUGAUAUAAUGUUGUGGGCACUCCCAAUGACAAACAUCCUCUGGGUAGUGGCACCACAGCAGUCAACACUAACGAGCCAGCUAGUCCGGUUUUUUUCUAGCCACACCUCGUAUACACCAUGGACCUGUGGCAAAUGGAGAUCAUUCUGUGGAUCCAGGUUGUGUGGUCUCAAACUGUCUGGUCCACACCAGGGUGCCCACCCAAAAGUGAGAGGCCUGGGAAUAACAGCAGUAGGUUCUGAAUAUCCAAGAGAUUGUUGUGAGAGUGAAUUUAAAGCUUUUCUGCCAGGCUGUAAGUUGUUAGGAAACUGCUGAUGGCAUUAGAUGUAGUGUUAGACAUAAUUUCCUUUAGGAGCUGAGGGGUUUUGCUGUAUGACAGAGAGACCACAUGAUACAGUAUGGUAUGAACUUUUUGAAUCCCAAUGUGGGUGCAAAAUCAUUCGAAUUCAUAGGAGGUAAACAUCAUCCCAUUACCAGAAACCAAGGUAUGUGGGCAGUGUUAGCCUCCAAGGGUAAAGAUUUUUCCAAGGCUGCCAUAAUAGUGGUUUUGUGAUCUGUGGCAUGUAGAAGAUAAAAGGGAACUGUUACAAGCAAUCAGUCAUGACCUACCACAUGGAGCCCAAAAAUGGACCAAAUGGAUAAGCUCCCGUGACUCCACAGAUUGGACCAGGGAGAGAACUCCUGGGGAGUUACAGCUUGAUGCGACUGACAAGUGGAGCUUCGAUCGACCAGAUCCAUGAUGUUACAGUCAAUGUUUGACCACAAUAUAUGUUGUCAUACCAAACUUUUCAUCCAGCACUUUCAUUAAUGGCCAAUGUGCAGAAGGCACAGCACUUACAGCCAAAGAGGUGGAGGAAUCGGGAUGCAGCAAUGGUUCUCAUCCAAGACUCACAACAGAACCCCUUGGUUUAAGUGUAGUUGAUGCUGUCAUGGCCAGUAGGAAUGAAAUUCAGGUCUGGGAGGCAUGUCUGGCCAUCUGUGUUGUACAAAAUGGGCAAGACUGUACAAUAUUCUUGCAGGUGGCAGCUGCAACAUCAUGAUGUGUUUAUGAAAAGGUUGAAAUGAGUGAAUCUAUAUCUGUGUAAAGCUGGAAAAAACAGCAAUUCAUUUUGGUCAAAGGCUGGGUUGGACCCAAGGGAAAUUGGGAUAGCAUGUCUAUGUUUGUGUGUUACAUUACUGCUCAAUAGUGGAUAGAAUAACGAAAAUAAGACAAUAAUAGCACUCAACUCUGGAGGCAUGAUGCUUGAGUCUGAAGAUGAUGUGCAACAAAUGAUGAUCUGUGUUGAGAUAGAAUUUCUGUCCACAAAGAAAUAAUUGAAGUUUGUGAGCUGCAUAAAUGACAGUGAUGGCCUCCUGCUCCGUUUAAUAAUGGCAUUGCUGGGCAGUGGAUAGGGUCUUAGAAGCAUAUAAUAUAUGACACUCAGUGCUGUUGGGAUAUUUGAGGCAGGAAUGAGCAAAUACUAUGGGACUGCAUGUCAGUUGCUGCUAACAGAGAUCAGCAGCGUAUGUUGUUUAACAUGAUGUGCACUUAAGACAAUCUUUUGAAGCCUGGAAAGCUUCUUCACAGAAAAGUGAUCAUUCAGAACAUCACCUUGGCAUCAUAGCUGGUUCAGUGAGUAUGGUAGCUCUGCUAAGUCUGUAUUGAAUCAGGCAUAAUAGUUGAUCUUAUGUAGAAGUCUUUUAUAUUUGUGGGGGGCUGCAUUUUAUCAAUCACUGCUGAAUACUCUCUUGUUGGUUCUAGUCCAUUUGCCAAAGGUUUAAACCUUAAAUAUUUCAAGGAAGACUGCAUGAAAGAGCACUUGCACAGUCUGCAUUUCAGUCAUUUUGUUGCAACCAUCUGGAGCAAAACCUUGAGAUUGUGAAGGUGAUCCUCCGGAGCUGCACUUGCAACCAAAAUAUUGUCAAAGUAUGCUGCUCAGUUGGGAACACCUUGUAAUAAUUGAUGCAUAAAAUGCUGACAUAUGACGGGGAUGAAGACAUUUUGAAAGGUAACUAAUUAUAAUGGCAAAGACUAUAUGGCAUAUUUAGCAGUAAAUGCAGUUGUGAUGCUGCAUCCAAGCAGAUUUGAAAAUAUGCCAGUACAAUGUUACUUUUACUGAGUAAAGUAUGAUGGCCUAAUUUUGAAGAGAGUUCAACCAGGGUCAUAAGAGGACAAGAUUCCACUUCAACUUGUACGUUUAUCAUUACUUUAAAAUCACCCCCAAAAUCUCAACAUGUCAUUCAGUCAUUCAUUCACUUCUGUGUCCAGACAGAAUUUCCAGAAAAUAGCAAUUCUGAUGACCUUGUUAUUUGCCUUGAUCAAGUUCCAUAUUGUACAAGGCUGUUCCUGUAGAGGGCAUAUGAGCAAGUGGCCUGAAUCUUGUGUUGUUUUGCACUCGCAGGACAUGCCUCAAUAAGCUGGAAGGAUGCCACAUUUUUGCAUGUAGGUCUUGCAGUGGGAAUACCCACCAUAAGAUGAUUAUGUGAUACCAUAACAGAUUAGGGCAGAUUGCUUCCUGAGGUUAGCUUUUCCUUUGUGGAGAUGUGUGGUGAUGUGAUGUGGUUAGAUUCCAGUAUCCCAUCCAAUGGCUGAGUCCUCGCAAUGCAGCUCUUUCUAGAUUUCAGCUUGAUGACUGAGCAGCAACAGUCCUUCUGACACCUAUUCCAACAAUCAGGUAGAGUUUGUUAAUUGGAGCUGGCUUUGUACAUCCCAACAGGAUUCAGACAGCGUCAUUGACUGCAGUGUCAACCUGUUUGGUGUGAACAUAUGCAUACUGUAUAGCUGACACAUAUAAAACAAGAGCAGAAGUUCUCAGGAUGUGAGGACUAGCUCCAUAGGUGGUGGCUAUGUUCCUUGCACUGACCAUCAGCCUGGUAUUGUAGCAAUGCUUCUUGAAAGACGGUGUACAGUAAAAGUAACAGCCUGAUAUACAGGUGUUGGGCAGAGUUGAAGGCUUACCUUCCCAUGUGAUGUCGAGUCUACACUAGGCUUCCCUAUUCCAUAUGUGCACAUCUGAGUCUUGUUUGGAUUUCACCUUAGAUGAUUGACCUCAUAGUACACGUCAAGCUUAUCCAAAGAUGUAGUCAGCUUUUUUUCUUUGUCUACAAACAUUGUCCCAUGGGCAGCCACUGGUGUAUCAUCAGCUUAGAUGACAUGCUUGAAGUGUUCUUUAAUGAGCUGACAUUGGUGUAAAUAUUAACAAGCACAAGAGUGAGCACACUGCCUUGAAGUAGGUCAUUCUUUUGCAUUCACCAUCUGCUUUUCUUAACCUGGAGAAAGAUCCAGUAUCUUCUAUUCUGCAGGAGACUGCCUGUGAGGGAUGUUAGUUGUUAAUCACUGGUGAAUUGGUAAAUUUUUGUUGCCACUACUUUUGUAAAAAAGUUACAUAUGGACUAGUGAAGGCUCACCUGGUUUAUUAACAACUAGAAAAAAAUACAAGAUGCUCCUUGAAAACAGUGCAUGCUAUCUUAAGUCUGAAUUACAUAGCAAAAUCUAGUCCACUUUGUUCAAAUUCUGGUUAUGACAAACAGAGGCCACAAUAUCAACACUUUAGUCAAAACAGUAACACAAUCACUGCGCAGUCCACAGAUUAUACCUCGACUGACUCAGACCAGUCCUGUGCAGGCUUAUACAAUAGUCUGGUACAAUCUUGUCAGAGAGUGCUCCUGACAACAAGUGUCCUCUGGGUAGUUGUACCACAGUUGUCGACAGUAACAUUGGACCAGAUAUUUGUUUUCCAUAGUGACAUCAGGUGGCACCAUUACUAUUGUCAUAGGGUAAAAUUCCAUUUAAUUUAGUUAUUGUAAUGGGCAUUCAGUUCUGGCAGUUUGAGUGUUUGUUGAGGUCUAUGUACGGUAAUAAUAUAAAAAGCAAAUAAGACAGAACUUUGCAACACUGAUUUAUUUUACCAUGACAAGUGUGGGUCAUGCCUCUUAAAGAUAAUGUCUUACAAUUUGUGUGAAAAUCACCUUAGUGUGAUGAUAAUAUUUCUUAUCCCAGAUGAUUACUAUCUCCAAAUUAAUAUGUAACAUAAAAUGUGUGGAGUAUCUCUCUUGAACUCAAAUACACAGUAUAUUUUAUAUUACUAUAUACAAAGAACACACACACACCACAUAAUACUGUAGUCAUAACCAAGCCAGUGUAACUUGCGUGAUGUUAGCCACUAUCUGUAAAUGGGGUUUCUCCCACAAUACAUCAUUGCAAAAUAAGUCUUUGAUACAAAGAAAUUUUGGCUACAUGUGUUUGUUUUCCCCUCUGAGGUCCACAGUCAUCAGAGAUAAACAAGGGAAAUUUGUUUCCACAACUCCUUAAGAUCAGUCACAAAGAAUUUGCUUUGAAAUUGACUAGUUUGGAAACAAACCCAGAAUUUUCUAAAAUGGAAACAGUUAUCAUGAAGCUGCAAUAUCAUCUUAUUCAAGCUGCCAUGAGAAAGAUUUUGCUUAAAAAUGUGCUAAAAUUUUGAUCCUCAUAAAGCACAGAACUUUUUAUUUUCAUUUAGUGGUCUGAGAUCACCAAGUUUUCUUCAAAUAUGACUAGAUUUGGAUUGAUGAAUAAUCUAUUUGCAGAACUAGCCUUGUUUCUGAGUAACUUAUCAAUUUAAGUUAUAAACAGCUUUCAUCUGUAAUUAUUUCUCCGUAUUUAGUCAGCUCAUUUAAGUAUCAAUGAAUACAGCAAAAGAUAAUGCUGAUUGCCUGAACUUUUGUUCCUGUACUUGAAUUAACUGGUAGACUUGAUAUUGUGUUACAUAGAGAUAUUGUUAUGUUAUUGUGUUUACUUUGUGUUACUGCUUUUCUAAGAUGCUAAUCAAAUCAAAUAUGCUUCCAUUCAAAAUAAACUGGUUUCUUCUAGAUCAAAUACACAGAAAUAAUGAAAAUUACUAUAUUGUUGGAUCACUCAUAAAACAAUAGUAAGCACAUAAUGGCUUUUUAUUCUGAGAAAGACAUGUUUCAUGUUGAAACAUAUAUAAACAAUGCACUGAUUUUAUCUGUGAAGAUUAGUGUACAGAGGCAAGGUGAAGAAUUGCAGAAUACUGACACACAGACUUACAUUAUGGUAUUACAAAUCAUAACUUUUACAUCAUAAGCUAAAAAAACUGUAAGAAAUAUAUUAUGCUAAAUUAUGAGGCAUUAACAUAUGACAUUGGAAAUUGCAGACAGGAAUAAGCAAAUGUAUUGUGUUACCAAUAUUAAUGGUUGUUGCAUGGAAAGUGCACUGUGUAGCAACUGAAUUCCUUUUGUGUGUGUGUGUGUGUGUGUGUGUGUGUGUGUGUGUGUGUGU
Molecule: long non-coding RNA, 5440 nt
Organism: Schistocerca nitens (vagrant locust)
Lineage: Eukaryota; Metazoa; Arthropoda; Insecta; Orthoptera; Acrididae
Exons: 2
Source: RefSeq, a predicted model, not a curated record